UGCCAGCCGCCGCGGUAAUACGGAGGGUGCAAGCGUUAUCCGGAAUCAUUGGGUUUAAAGGGUUCGUAGGCGGGCAAUUAAGUCAGAGGUGAAAUCCCACAGCUCAACUGUGGAACUGCCUUUGAUACUGGUUGUCUUGAGUCAUACUGAAGUAGAUAGAAUGUGUAGUGUAGCGGUGAAAUGCAUAGAUAUUACACAGAAUACCGAUUGCGAAGGCAGUCUACUAAGUAUGUACUGACGCUGAUGGACGAAAGCGUGGGGAGCGAACAGGAUUAGAUA
This 279-nucleotide ribosomal RNA is filed under the name uncultured bacterium. Its description in RNAcentral is "partial 16S ribosomal RNA". It matches the Rfam family "Bacterial small subunit ribosomal RNA", at positions 506 to 784 of the family's 1533-position model. The record is from RNAcentral.